UAACGGCGUGUGUUUUGGAAACCAGAGUUGAAGGAGACACGUCUUCAGUAAUUCAGACCAUUUACGAUUACAAUGACUUAAAGGAAUACGUAAUAAGCGAGGACGGAAAUUGCACAGAGCAAAGUAUACCGGGAAAUAGAAGUCUCGCAACCGACUUUCUUUGCAUUCCAGGAAUGGCCACAUGUGACGAUUACGUUACUCUCGG
Long non-coding RNA from Lingula anatina, 205 nucleotides. Lineage: Eukaryota; Metazoa; Brachiopoda; Lingulata; Lingulida; Lingulidae. The record is from RefSeq and is a predicted model, not a curated record.